AUACCAAUGAAGAAGAAACUCAUUCAUGGAUGUCAUAUUAGUAGAGCUGCCAAGCUGGAUACUGAUUUUACCACCAAAGGCAUUGUUGAAGCGUUUCAAAGAGGUUACCACAGAUACUAUUAAAUACAACAAGCAUGACAACAUGAAAAAAGGGAGUGUCACCAGGGUUUCCAUGGUGCUGGCAGCUUACGUGCCUUUUGGCCACUGCCUUUCUUAUAAGGAGCUCAAACAUAAGAACCACCGAAGA
RNAcentral lists this long non-coding RNA (247 nucleotides) under Homo sapiens (human). RNAcentral's name for it is "non-protein coding lnc-FOXS1-1:1". Lineage: Eukaryota; Metazoa; Chordata; Mammalia; Primates; Hominidae. The record is from RNAcentral.